UGUUGCAGGAGCUGGAAGAGAGAGGACCAUGUUCCUGGCUGGCUGAAAGAGCAGCAGGACCAUGGACAGUUCAGUGCAGGGACCAGGGGCUCCUGGCUGGCUGUGGGGAUUGAGCCAGAACUGAGCCCAGGUAGGGCUGCAGGAAAACAGAGUCUCCCAGGAAGAAGCCCUGGGGAAGGUACGGCCCCAUACCAGAGCCAGAAGAAGGUAAAGACUGUAUAUUCUGGAAGGGGUUUGUUCUGUUCCACCUACAGACAGUGUGUGUGUGUGUGACUCAGCCGCAGGGCUGAGUCACUGAAGACCCACUGAAGAAACCAUUGAUCAAGGACAGGAGGCACUCACAAGAUCUGGGUGCCACCCCGGUCCACAAACUGCAGGCGCAUGCACUUGACCAGGGAGGGCCCCUUCUGUGAGGUCAAAAAACAAUGGAACUAUAUGAAGAACUGUCAUAAAUGUAAAACAUGAGAACCAAACAGUAAGGUCUUGAUCUUUAAAGGAAUGCAUCUGCCUCAUAGCAAAGCAAGACAUACAAUGUAACCUACAAAAUAACUAUUGCUAGGGCUCUAGCUCAGUGAAAUGGAGAUACAGCGAAUCCAGGCAAGCUCACCUGAGUAGCUGCAGACUGACAGGAAGAGGAGGAAGAUGAUGAGACAACAGGAAUAUCAGACUGGACAGCAGCCACAGUGGUAGCAGGAGUAAAAAUCAGCUGGGAAGACAGAAAAGGAAAACUGAAGAAAACACAAUUUACAGAUAAAGUAGUCAGAGCAAGGGGGUGAACAGAGACACAAAGUCAAGCAACCAGAGUCAGAUAAAGAUAUGGAAUGAAGCAGCAACAGAACCAGACAUAUCUUGACUCCCAAUAGUCUGCUCAGACAACUGGACUACAGUGUCUCAAAAUGAAUUUUCAAAUUAGAGAAUAUCAUGUUUAGUAACACAAAGAAGUGACUCUUUUUUCAAGUAUACACUAAGUGUUUUGUGGGGAAAAAACUGUCACAGCUAGAGACUGAAAUCCUCUGUUCAUUAAGAUAACAUGCCAUACAGAUAACACCAAUGGAAGCUUCCCCACAAAGCACCACCAGUAUGUCUCAGUCAUGACCUGCAAGGACUUUCUCUAGGGACAGUUCAGACUCUGUCCAUUCUAUCCUCUCUAGAGCCAGGUGCUGAGAUUGCCAACAAGACUGCAAAUGAGUUCUAAUGGUGGUGGGGGUUUGGUGUUGUAUAUUGUCAACAUUGUUUUAAAAAUAUUUCAGUUCAUCCACUGCAAGAGACAGAAUAAUUUGUAGGUAUAAUACUAGAAUUCCUCAGAAUUAUUCUUGCAAAAAAGGCAAGAAAGAAUGCUUUUAAAGGAUAACCAAAGAGGUUGAGGAGGAUAUCCACUCUGAACUAAGCAGACUACAUGUCUGUUAAAAUGAGACCAUGGAACAGUUAAUUCAACAAACAAGGUUUCAUAAAAAAUAAAAACAUAAUGGCCUAAACCCAAGGUUAUUAUUCAGGAAAAAGUCUUCAAGAUUGGGCCCUGUAACAGAGGCCUGUCCCUUUAAGGCCAAAGGAAGUAAUGUGAGAGACCAGUCACCCCAUUCCAUGUGUCUGGGGAUGGCAGAGAAAGGCUGAAGGAAACCCAAACAGCCACUGGGUCAGAGGAAGAUAGUGUCUGAAGGGGGCAGGGAUAGGAAAAACCCAGGUCAUUGCUCUCUAUGGCAGCAGGAAGGCCCAGGCCCAGGAGCAAGGCUCCCUACCCAGGUGUUUAGGAUAAUUAGACCCACAUGGGAAGGGUCAAGGGAGUGGUCAGAUGAUGGGGAUGGAUGACUCAAAAAAACAAGGUUCCAAGCCCAGUCAGGGAGAGCUUGCUGAAGGGAGGAUUUAAAGGACACAGUCCAACAAGGAAGGUUGUGAAAAGCCCUGAACUAAACAGGGGAGUCUGCAGAUGGAGGAUGCCAGCACUUGAAGCACACAGUCCCAGAAAGGAGGACUUGGGGGACCCUGAACCUAGGGUUGGAUGAAAAGGCAGCUCUUUUGAGAGCUAGGUUAAUGUUUAAUAAAUUAGAACCCAAAAGAGUGAGAAUAUUGUUCCUAAAGACUUUGGAGUGUAAAUGAAUUAUAUCUGGAAACUGAGGUAGGGGACUGCAGUGACAUGCCACACUGCAUGAGGGUGUGCUUGGAGACUGCACUCUCCUACAGGUCUUAAAUAUAGUAUUUUAUAUUAUAAAGAGAACUGUAUCAUAACUAAAGAGACAUGAAAGCGUAUCUUCUGCACUUUCCACAUCACAUCUGAAUCUCCCAAGACUCAGUAAAUAGCUGCUCUCAAAUAUCUAAAAGGGAACUGAAAUGAAAAACUACUGAUAUUGUAUUACUGCUGUACACUACAAUACCUUACAUUAUUUACUUGAAUUGAGUGUCAAAUGUUGAAAUACCAAUAUCACUGGCAUUGGGGGUGAAAAAAUCUGAGUAAAUUAGCUGUUCACACUAGCUAGACAACACAUACUGAAAAGUUAAAUAGAUAUACAUGUUGUGACAUUAUCUGAUUAAAAUAUGACCAUGCAAAUCAUUGUUGCUACCACUGUCGUAUAAUUGCAGCAAAUCUUAUACAAAGUGUGACACGUGGCCAGAAAGGGUUAAGCAUUCUAUAGGCUAAAUGACCCAGAGUCAACCUGUAGAGACAUGUUAGAAAAGUAUGUG
This is a long non-coding RNA of Chelonia mydas (Green sea turtle), 2676 nucleotides long. RefSeq lists it as uncharacterized. NCBI's taxonomy places the organism in Eukaryota, Metazoa, Chordata, Testudines, Cheloniidae. The record is from RefSeq and is a predicted model, not a curated record. The transcript is spliced from 4 exons.